This 515-nucleotide ribosomal RNA is filed under the name uncultured bacterium. Its description in RNAcentral is "bacterial SSU rRNA". It matches the Rfam family "Bacterial small subunit ribosomal RNA", at positions 335 to 868 of the family's 1533-position model. The record is from RNAcentral.
CACCUACGGGUGGCAGCAGUGGGGAAUAUUGGACAAUGGGCGCAAGCCUGAUCCAGCAAUGCCGCGUGAGUGAUGAAGGCCUUCGGGUUGUAAAGCUCUUUUACCUACGACGAUGAUGACGGUAGUAGGAGAAUAAGCCCCGGCUAACUUCGUGCCAGCAGCCGCGGUAAUACGAAGGGGGCUAGCGUUGUUCGGAAUUACUGGGCGUAAAGGGCGCGUAGGCGGCCCUGUCAGUCAAGCGUGAAAGCCCCGGGCUCAACCUGGGAAUUGCGCCUGAUACUGCAGGGCUUGAGGGUCGGAGAGGAUGGUGGAAUUCCCAGUGUAGAGGUGAAAUUCGUAGAUAUUGGGAAGAACACCGGUGGCGAAGGCGGCCAUCUGGACGACAUCUGACGCUGAGGCGCGAAAGCGUGGGGAGCAAACAGGAUUAGAUACCCUGGUAGUCCACGCUGUAAACGAUGAAUGCUAGACGUUGGGGUUCUCAGAACUUCAGUGUCGCCGCUAACGCAUUAAGCAUC